CCCAAAUAUUUUUGUCACCGUUUAUCGAAUUACACUGUGGUUUCGAGUAGCUGCCUAAUUUCGCGCCCCCUACCGCUAGUCUAUCCCGCGAGAGCGAUGCGGGCGCAGGUUACAGAGUUUGAGGAUCAACCCGGUGCGUGAGACCGGCGUCACCAACUAACAUGCCUUACGAAAGAAAUCAGCGUCGUCUCGAGGCUCUUUUGCAAGAAGCAGUAUCUGAUGAGGAUAGAUUACAAACGUCAUUGGAAAUUGAAUCUGGAAGUGACUUCGAACCAGAUAAUUUCGAACCAGAUCGCACGUAAUAGGUACCAACUUGCUCUAGUUGUUUGGCUGUUGAAGAUGAGUGAUUUUAGUAUUGUAUAUUUAUUUUUUUGGUCGAAGUAUUACCAUUUAUGUUACUUCAUUUUAUGUUUUCAAUGUCAUAAGACUGACUAAGCCUAAUUUUAUUGUUAAAUAAUUAACAUUGUUGUUUUAUUUUUGUGUUUUAAAAAACCUUUGUUAAAAUACUUGAAAAUUUUAGUUAUUUCAAAGAUAUUGUCUUAUGCUAAUAAAAGAGAUUUGAUUUAUGAAA
Long non-coding RNA from Colias croceus (clouded yellow), 571 nucleotides. RefSeq lists it as uncharacterized. The record is from RefSeq and is a predicted model, not a curated record. The transcript is spliced from 2 exons. Lineage: Eukaryota; Metazoa; Arthropoda; Insecta; Lepidoptera; Pieridae.